RNAcentral lists this ribosomal RNA (261 nucleotides) under uncultured archaeon. RNAcentral's name for it is "partial 16S ribosomal RNA". It matches the Rfam family "Archaeal small subunit ribosomal RNA", at positions 748 to 1009 of the family's 1478-position model. The record is from RNAcentral.
AGGGUGUAAACGCUGCAGACUUGGUGUUGGAGGCCCUUUGGGGGCAUUCAGUGCCGGAGAGAAGUUGUUAAGUCUGCUACUUGGGGAGUACGUCCGCAAGGAUGAAACUUAAAGGAAUUGGCGGGGGAGCACCGCAAGGGGUGAAGCUUGCGGUUUGAUUGGAGUCAACGCCGGAAAUCUCACCGGGAGCGACAGCAGUGUGAUAGCCAGAUUAAAGGUCUUGCUAGACGAGCUGAGAGGAGGUGCAUGGCGUAGUCGUGU